Molecule: ribosomal RNA, 292 nt
Filed under: uncultured bacterium
Lineage: Bacteria
Description: partial 16S ribosomal RNA
Rfam family: Bacterial small subunit ribosomal RNA
Source: RNAcentral
GUGUCAGCAGCCGCGGUAACACGGGGGGAGCAAGCGUUGUUCGGAAUCACUGGGCGUAAAGGGCGUGUAGGCGGUCAGAUAAGUGGAAUGUGAAAUGCCCCGGCUCACCCGGGGACCGGCAUCCCAAACUGUCUGGCUUGAGUAUGGGAGAGGAUGAGGGAAUUCCUGGUGUAGCGGUGAAAUGCGUAGAUAUCAGGAGGAACACCGGUGGCGAAGGCGCUCAUCUGGCCCAAUACUGACGCUGAUGCGCGAAAGCUAGGGGAGCAAACGGGAUUAGAUACCCUGGUAGUCC